GGUUCUAUGGUGUAGUGGUUAGCACUCUGGACUUUGAAUCCAGCGACCUGGGUUCGACUCCUCCCGGUAGGACCU
Non-coding RNA from Tripterygium wilfordii, 75 nucleotides. The record is from the annotation of a RefSeq genome assembly. NCBI's taxonomy places the organism in Eukaryota, Viridiplantae, Streptophyta, Magnoliopsida, Celastrales, Celastraceae.